Molecule: long non-coding RNA, 3129 nt
Organism: Papaver somniferum (opium poppy)
Lineage: Eukaryota; Viridiplantae; Streptophyta; Magnoliopsida; Ranunculales; Papaveraceae
Exons: 10
Source: RefSeq, a predicted model, not a curated record
UAAUAUUUUGAUCUCAUGGUCGACCGUCAUUAGCUCUCCACCUCUCGGUAAUCAAUUAUCUUCGCAAUUGCAAUCGACGUUUUCCCCCUUGAAACUCUCAGACUUCAACCAUUUCUACUCCUUUACCACUCCAUCUUGAGCAGUUACAAAUUCGUUCAAGUAUAAUUGAAAACUUUUCAAUCACAAAUCAUGGUCUUGCAUUCAAUCGGAAGGUCGAUUCCAAAACCCUUGAAAACCAGAUUCGCUGUCUUUUACAUGUAUGCAACGAUAAUUUCAGCUGCAAAGAUGAAAUAGAGUUUGUGAAAUUCUUGGCGGCGUUGGAAAAUUAAAAAGGGGCUUCAAACUGAAGAUUGCGCUCUGGAAUCAGGUGGGAAAUGACAGAUAUCAGGAUGACUCCGACCUACUACCGGUGUUGAUAGCCGUUUUCACCUCUUUUGUCAAUUAUUAUCAAGGCCGUGUUAGUCAAAAAGUGUGUUGGAGUGUUAGUUCAACAUGCCCUCCAUGAUCGCUACGGAACAAAGGCAGGUACCUCUUCCCUUUAGAAGUCCAAGACUCCGUCGGCCCAUUGUUUUGUAGCUUUGAACAGUGAGAUCCAGAAACUGUAAUGACACGCUGCAUCUGAGCUCCUGAGUGUCUGAGAGGUACUUUAACUUACCUUAUCCACAUUAAUCUGCAUGUGUAUUUAUGAGCCUGUCAUGUGUGUCAUCUGUCAUCACAGUUGAAAAUCUCAGGUAUACACACUUCGUCCUUACUCUCAGGUUUAGGGGCUCAACAUUGAAAAUUGCUCUUGAGGUUCUGCUGCUAAUGGAGUUGGUAUUAAGCCAAUUGAUUGUGACUCCACCCCAUGUCCUGUAUUGGUUGUUUGCUCCAUUUUUCUGAAAAUUUACCAAGCUAUUUCUGUCAACAUCAACUUUAAAUGUUCAAUAUUACCAAAAAGUAUGACAGUCUGAUCAUUUGACAAAAUAUUACAUUGCAAAGCAUUAUUUGCUCUAAUCUUGAGCAAGCCGUUUCCGGCCACAUUUAUUGUAUAUUGAAAACAAACUCCCAGAAGCUAGCUAAUUCAAAAUAGAAAUUGAUGCAUUGAUCUCCCUCUGCCAGACAGUGUUUGUUUGCAUGGGAUUAUUUUGAAACUCCUAGACAUGAUGAUGUUUAUGUAAACUAUUUUCCGUCGAAGUCUUCCUAUCCCAGCUCAGUCAUUUGCAGAAAUCAUCUAUUUUUAUUUGUUGCAUAUGUUUUUUUAUCCUACAUACACUACCAAAAAUGUGAAGGUUAUAUACUUCUGCAUUGUUUGUUGUUAUUUGAAUCACAGAAACUGGCAAGUUGCACUUUAGUGGAGGUUGAUGCUUAUCUAAAUGUCAACAAAAAUUUUGUAUUAUGCUUGAAAUCUUUGAAUAAAUUUGAGGACUCUUUUUAGCAUUGUUGGCAUUCUUCGCAUACCUAAUACUAAAGUUCAUGCUUAUUCGUAUGUUGACAGAGUUUUAGACUGAUUGUAUGUGAAGCCUUGAACUAAUUUUGAGGAUUACACUUGGAUCUAUUGACUUUUAAAUAUGGCAUCCCUCUUAACUAACUGAAAUGCAUCUUCCCUAUAGGGAUGAGCUGUUGAGUAGUCGUAAUUUGGUUGAAUACCCUCUAGGUCAUCAAGUUGUUUAUCUUUUAAUUUACCAAACUGAUUUCAGGUGCUUUUGUCAUAAUAGCUUAUUUCUCUAUUUACAUUCUUUAUUUAGAUUUACUUCACUUUGUUUGAACGUAUUGCUUUUCAAACGUUCAAACAGAAUAUAAAUAGAGUGGAUCAUUUGGCUUUCAAUCUGUUUGAACGUAUUGCUUUCUAUUGAUCCCAAAGACUGUGCAUCAACUGAAAAAGCAAUAUAAACGUAUUGCUUCACAGUUAGGUUUUUGAGAAUGCGGGGUUGUAAAUAAAGUGGAUCAUUUGGCUUUCAAUCUGUUUGAACGUAUUGCUUUCUAUUGAUCCCAAAGACUGUGCAUCAACUGAAAAAGUUGGGUUUUAAUACUGAAAUCUUCUAGAUUGUGCAGGGUUUUGAUUUGACUGUUGAAUUGAAUUUUUUUUCAAGGAGAUUGAUGUAUGAUAGUUGGGUAACAGGUGAUGUAUGUUUAUCAAAGACUUCUCUGGCAUGGCUCAGCUUUAAUCAGCAUCACUUGGAUUUGUGGAACACCACCGUCACUGCUUUGGAUGUAUAUUCUGUGUGCAUUAUUCCCUACAAAUUCUGUUUAACAGAGUUUGAAGAAAUCAAAUCGAAGGUGGUUUCUUAAAAACCAUCAGGAACGUCCGAUUUUGGUGCAAUAGGUGCAAAUCUAAAGCUAAUAUGUACUCAAUAUAUAAUCAUUUCAACAAUUCGACACCAAAAUCAACAAUUCAUUCAGGUGCAGAUAAUUUAACCUCUCUGCCAAAAAUGCGCCUCGAGUUUACACAAACAACGACAUCCCCGCCCGUCAUUGAAAUGUGAGAUAGUCAAUAUUGGAAAAGGAUCACAAGGCAAAUAAAUAGCGCUGAGAAGGAAUUUAUGGCAGUGAUCUAAAUGUGUACAUGCAUUGCCUACUUCAGGAAGGAGCACAGAAUCUGAGAAAUUGGUUGCAGAGACGCAAGGAUGGAUGUUGGCAUUGUCCGUUUAUCGCCGAUGAACGACUGAAUGUACAAAUUUGGAGAUUCUCUAACAUUGUACCACUGAUUAAUGAAGCAUUGGAACGACAUCAGCCGCUAAGGAUUCGAUGUCUACAGAUAGGGGUGUGAACUCCCUUAGGAGGCAGAUAGAAGAGCAACUGGAAUACAUUUUCCAUUUGUAUGUGAGUUUUUUCACAUAAGACUGGAGAAUGGAAGAAUGAAAUUGCGACGAUUGUGGAAUGGAGCUGUUGCAUAACAUUCCGAUAGCGGAAUGGCAUCACGAAAAUGUUGGAACGUCUGAUUCAGCCUAGGAACAAUAGUAGAACUGACUCAAUUGAGGGUUUGGUACAUAUUUUUUUGAUCAAAAUUGUAAAAUUAGUGACUUUAUUUAGAAAAAAUAUUGAUUGAAUGAUUUUUGAAUGGAAAUGUUAGUAUUGUCUAAGGGCUUCAUAGAGAGAGUUUGGUUGGUUCAUUUUCUAGUAAUGGAAAAAUCUCAAAACUUUAACCUCUAG